CAGCCGCCGCGGGAAUACGGAGGGUGCAAGCGUUAAUCGGAAUUACUGGGCGUAAAGCGUGCGUAGGCGGUUCGUUAAGUCUGUUGUGAAAGCCCCGGGCUCAACCUGGGAAUGGCAAUGGAUACUGGCGAGCUAGAGUGUGUCAGAGGAUGGUGGAAUUCCCGGUGUAGCGGUGAAAUGCGUAGAGAUCGGGAGGAACAUCAGUGGCGAAGGCGGCCAUCUGGGACAACACUGACGCUGAGGCACGAAAGCGUGGGGAGCAAACAGGAUUAGAUACCCCAGUAGUCCCUGUCUCUUAUAA
RNAcentral lists this ribosomal RNA (301 nucleotides) under uncultured bacterium. Its description in RNAcentral is "partial 16S ribosomal RNA". It matches the Rfam family "Bacterial small subunit ribosomal RNA", at positions 509 to 809 of the family's 1533-position model. The record is from RNAcentral.